This 668-nucleotide long non-coding RNA is filed under the name Zonotrichia albicollis (white-throated sparrow). Its description in RNAcentral is "lncRNA (ENSZALG00000001776.1)". Lineage: Eukaryota; Metazoa; Chordata; Aves; Passeriformes; Passerellidae. The record is from RNAcentral.
CAGCAGCUCCCUCACAGAGCCUUCAGCUCUCCCUCCACCCCUGGCAAAGGAUCCAGGCAGAAUUCCCAGCUCAGGACUGGGUUUAACUCUGCAGAGCCGGGAUCCAGAAUUCCCAGCUCUGCCAGGACUGGGCUUAACUCUGUUGAACCUGGAUCCAGGCAGAAUUCCCAGGUCAGGACUGGGUUUAACUCUGCUGAAAGAGAAUCCAGGCAGAAUUCCCAGCUCAGGACUGGGUUAAGCUCUGCAGAGGCAGGAUCCAGAAUUCCCAGCUCUCCCAGGAGUGGGUUUAGCUCUGCUCAAGCAGAAUCCAGACAGAAUUCCCAGUUCUGCCAGGACUGGGUUUAGCUCUGCAGAGCCAGGUUCCAGAAUUCCCAGCUCAGGACUGGGCUUAGCCCUCCUGAGCCUGGAUCCAGGCAGAAUUCCCAGCUCAGGACUGGGUUUAACUCUGCAGAGCCAGGAUCCAGAAUUCCCAGCUCAGGACUGGGUUUAGUUCUGCAGAGCCAGGAUCCAGAAUUCCCAGCUCAGGACUGGGUUUAGCCCUCCUGAGCCUGGAUCCAGGCACAAUUCCCAGCCCUGCCAGGCCUCUGCUGCCCCUGUGCUGCCCAGGGCUGUCCCAGCUCCCCUCCCAGGCCCUGCUGCCAUUCCCACCUCCAGCAGACACAGAGAGC